GAGGAAUAUUGGGCAAUGCCCGCAAGGGUGACCCAGCAACGCCGCGUGGAGGAUGAAUGUCGUAAGAUUGUAAACUCCUGUUAGAGGGGAAGAAUAGUACCGGUUGGACCGGUAUAUGACUGUACCCUCAGAGAAAGCCCCGGCUAACUACGUGCCAGCAGCCGCGGUAAUACGUAGGGGGCAAGCGUUGUCCGGAUUUACUGGGUGUAAAGGGCGCGCAGGCGGGAUAAAAAGUCAGUGGUGAAAUCCUACAGCUUAACUGUAGAACUGCCUUUGAUACUUUUAUUCUUGAGUUCGGGAGAGAGAGACGGAAUUCCUGGUGUAGUGGUGAAAUACGUAGAUAUCUGGAAGAACACCAGUUGCGAAGGCGGUCUCUUGGUCCGACACUGACGCUGAGGCGCGAAAGCGUGGGGAGCAAACA
RNAcentral lists this ribosomal RNA (421 nucleotides) under uncultured bacterium. RNAcentral's name for it is "bacterial SSU rRNA". It matches the Rfam family "Bacterial small subunit ribosomal RNA", at positions 356 to 774 of the family's 1533-position model. The record is from RNAcentral.